This 446-nucleotide ribosomal RNA is filed under the name uncultured bacterium. RNAcentral describes it as "bacterial SSU rRNA". It matches the Rfam family "Bacterial small subunit ribosomal RNA", at positions 355 to 825 of the family's 1533-position model. The record is from RNAcentral.
UGGGGAAUCUUGGACAAUGGGCGCAAGCCUGAUCCAGCCAUGCCGCGUGAGUGAUGAAGGCCCUAGGGUUGUAAAACUCUUUCGUGGGGACGAUAAUGACGGUACCCCAAGAAGAAGCUCCGGCUAACUUCGUGCCAGCAGCCGCGGUAAUACGAAGGGGGCUAGCGUUGUUCGGAUUUACUGGGCGUAAAGCGCGUGUAGGCGGGCUGGAAAGUUGGGGGUGAAAUCCCGAGGCUCAACCUCGGAACUGCCUCCAAAACUUCCAGCCUGGACUCAAGUAGAGGCAAGUGGAAUUGCGAGUGUAGAGGUGAAAUUCGUAGAUAUUCGCAGGAACACCAGUGGCGAAGGCGACUUGCUGGACUUGUAGUGACGCUGAGACGCGAAAGCGUGGGGAGCAAACAGGAUUAGAUACCCCCGUAGUCCCUGAGCGGGCUGGCAAGGCGCAU